UACGUAGGGGGCUAGCGUUGUCCGGAAUCAUUGGGCGUAAAGAGCGCGUAGGCGGCCAGAUAAGUCCGGUGUGAAAGUCACAGGCUCAACCUGUGAAUGCCGCUGGAAACUGUCUGGCUAGAGUCCGGAAGGGGCGAGUGGAAUUCCCGGUGUAGCGGUGAAAUGCGCAGAUAUCAGGAGGAACACCAAUGGCGAAGGCAGUCUCCUGGCAAGUUACUGACGCUCAGGUGCGAAAGCUAGGGGAGCGAACGGG
Molecule: ribosomal RNA, 253 nt
Filed under: uncultured bacterium
Lineage: Bacteria
Description: partial 16S ribosomal RNA
Rfam family: Bacterial small subunit ribosomal RNA
Source: RNAcentral